CCCCUCCCCCUCCUCCCCUCCCCCUCCUCCCUCACCCCCUCCCCUCCCCCUCCUCCCCUCACCUCCUCCCCUACCCCUCCUCUCCUUCCCCUCCUCCCCCCUUCUCUCCUCCCCCCUCCUCCCCCUCCUUCCCUCCCCCUCCUCCCUCACCUCCUCCACUCCCCCUCCUCCUCCCCCUCCUCCUCCCCCUCCUCCUCCCCCUCCUCCUCCCCCUCCUCCUCCCCUCCCCCUCCUCUCCUCCCCCUCCUCCCCUCACCUCCUCCCCUACCCCUCCUCUCCUUCCCCUCCUCCCCCUCCUCCCCCCUCCUCCCCCCUCCUCCCCCCUUCUCUUCUCCCCCUCCUCCCCCCUCCUCCCUCCUCCCCUCCCCUCUCCCCUCCCCCUCCCCUCUCCUCACCUACUCCCCCUCCACUCCCCCUCCUCCCCUCACCUCCUCCCCUCCCCCUCCUCCCCUCCUCUCCUUCCCCUCCUCCCCCCCUCCUCCCCUCCUCCCCCUCCUCCUCCCCUCCCCCUCCUCCCCUCCCCCUCCCCCUCCUCCUCCCCCUCCUCCCCUCCUCCCCCUCCCCCUCCCCCUCCCCCUCCUCCCCCUCCUCUCCUUCCCCUCCUCCCCUCCCCCUCCUCCUCCCCUCCCCCUCCUCCCCUCUCCUCCUCCCCUCCUCCUCCCCCUCCUCCCCCCUCCUCCCCCCCUCCUCCCCCCUUCUCUUCUCCCCCUCCUCCCCUCACCUCCUCCCCUCCUCCCCUCACCUCCUCCACUCCCCCUCCUCCCCUCCUCCCCUCUCCUCCUCCUCCCCUCCUCCCCCUCCUCCUCCCCCUCCCCCUCCUCCUCCCCUCCUCCUCCCCUCCCCCUCCCCCUCCCCCUCCCCCUCCUCCUCCCCUCCUCCCCUCUCCUCCUCCCCUCCUCCCCUCCUCCCCCCUUCUCUUCUCCCCCUCCUCCUCCCCCUCCUCCUCCCCCUCCUCCUCCCCCUCCUCCCCUCCUCCCCUCCCCCUCCCCCUCCCCCUCCUCCUCCCCCUCCUCUCCUUCCCCUCCUCCCCCCUCCUCCCCCUCCCCCUCCUCCUCCCCCUCCUCUCCUCCCCCUCCCCAUUCCCCUCCUUCCCCCCUCCCCCUCCCCCUCCCCCUCCUCCCCUCUCCUCCUCCCCUCCCCCUCCUUCCCCCCUCCCCCUCCUCCCCCCCUCCUUCCCUCCCCCUCCUUCCCCUCCUCCCCCUCCUCCCCUUCCCUGUGCAAUGAGAUCCUUCAGGUAGGGGUCUAUAGAUGCAUCUGUCAGAGUUGGAGAAAUUGAGGCUUAAAGAGAGCUUGCCCAGCCAGUGCAACCAACGCACCUGUGAGUGUCUGUGUGCACCUGUGAUGCACAC
This 1349-nucleotide long non-coding RNA is filed under the name Felis catus (domestic cat). RNAcentral's name for it is "lncRNA (ENSFCAG00000053386.1)". The record is from RNAcentral. Lineage: Eukaryota; Metazoa; Chordata; Mammalia; Carnivora; Felidae.